UACGUAGGGGGCAAGCGUUGUCCGGAAUCAUUGGGCGUAAAGAGCGUGUAGGCGGCUCGGUAAGUCCGCUGUAAAAGUCCAGGGCUCAACCCUGGAAAGCCGGUGGAAACUGUCGGGCUAGAGUCCGGAAGAGGCGAGUGGAAUUCCCGGUGUAGCGGUGAAAUGCGUAGAUAUCGGGGGGAAUACCUAUGGCGAAAGCAGGCUACUGGACCAUCACUGACGCUGAUCUGCGAAAGCUAGGGGAGCAAACAGG
This 253-nucleotide ribosomal RNA is filed under the name uncultured prokaryote. RNAcentral's name for it is "partial 16S ribosomal RNA". It matches the Rfam family "Bacterial small subunit ribosomal RNA", at positions 524 to 776 of the family's 1533-position model. The record is from RNAcentral.